AACGAACGCUGGCGGCAUGCCUAACACAUGCAAGUCGAACGAGAUCUUCGGUUCUAGUGGCGCACGGGUGCGUAACGCGUGGGAACCUGCCCUUAGGUUCGUAAUAACUCCCCGACAUGGGUGCUAAUACCGGAUAAUGUCUUCGGACCAAAGAUUUAUCGCCUUUGGAUGGGCCCGCGUUGGAUUAGCUAGUUGGUAGGGUAAAAGCCUACCAAGGCGACGAUCCAUAGCUGCUCUGAGAGGAUGAUCAGCCACACUGGGACUGAGACACGGCCCAGACUCCUACGGGAGGCAGCAGUGGGGAAUAUUGGACAAUGGGCGAAAGCCUGAUCCAGCAAUGCCGCGUGAGUGAUGAAGGACUUAGGGAUGUAAAGCUCUUUUAGCAGGGAAGAUAAUGACAGUACCGGGAGAAUAAGCUCCGGCUAACUACGUG
Molecule: ribosomal RNA, 433 nt
Filed under: uncultured bacterium
Lineage: Bacteria
Description: partial 16S ribosomal RNA
Rfam family: Bacterial small subunit ribosomal RNA
Source: RNAcentral